Molecule: ribosomal RNA, 570 nt
Filed under: Triticum aestivum (bread wheat)
Lineage: Eukaryota; Viridiplantae; Streptophyta; Magnoliopsida; Poales; Poaceae
Description: partial small subunit ribosomal RNA
Source: RNAcentral
AUGGCAGCGGUAGAUUUUGAUCUACGCUUCACAUAUGUGUUAGCUGGUUGGGAAGGGUCAGCACAUGAUGCAACUGUUUUAGCUGAUGCAUUAACACGUGAGAGGGGCUUACAAGUACCACCGGGCAAGUUCUACCUAGUUGAUGCUGGCUAUGGAGCAAAGCCUGGGUUCUUGCCCCCUUUUCAUGGUGUGAGGUACCAUUUGAACGAGUGGGGCAACAAUCCAGUCCAAAAUGAUAGGGAGCUGUUCAACCUUAGGCACUCAUCUCUACGGGUGACGGUAGAGAGGGCUUUUGGAUCUCUGAAGAGGCGCUUCAAAAUUUUAGAUGAUGCCAAACCAUUCUUCACUUUCCCGGUGCAAGUUGACCUUGUUAUAGCUUGUUGUGUUCUUCAUAAUUAUGCACUGUCACAAGGGAUUGAUGAAUUUAUUAUACCGGAAGUGACAUGGACCACCCAACCAAUUCGAACAUCAAGGCAACAAGCAAGUGACGUUAGGGCCGUGGUAGACCGUAGGAUGCAAAUAGCAGCCCAAAUGUGGGAAGAUAGACAACUAAUGUAUGCUAAUCUAUGA